UGUGUAGGCGGUUGCUUAAGUUUGGUGUGAAAUCUCCCGGCUCAACUGGGAGGGUGCGCCGAAUACUGAGUGACUCGAGUGCGGGAGAGGAAAGUGGAAUUCCUGGUGUAGCGGUGAAAUGCGUAGAUAUCAGGAGGAACACCGGUGGUGUAGACGGCUUUCUGGACCGUAACUGACGCUGAGACACGAAAGCGUGGGUAGCAAACAGGAUUAGAUACCCUGGUAGUCCACGCCCUAAACGAUGCACAUUUGGUGUGGGUCAUUCAGUUGAUCCGUGCCGGAGCUAACGCGUUAAAUGUGCCGCCUGGGGAGUACAGUCGCAAGGCUGAA
This 330-nucleotide ribosomal RNA is filed under the name uncultured bacterium. RNAcentral describes it as "bacterial SSU rRNA". It matches the Rfam family "Bacterial small subunit ribosomal RNA", at positions 568 to 898 of the family's 1533-position model. The record is from RNAcentral.